CGGAUUUACUGGGCGUAAAGGGCGUGCAGGCGGUUUGUUAAGUCUAGGGUGAAAGCUCCCGGCUCAACUGGGAGAGGUCAUUGGAUACUGGCGGACUAGAGGGGGGUAGAGGAAAGCAGAAUUCCUGGUGUAGCGGUGAAAUGCGUAGAUAUCAGGAGGAAUACCAGUGGCGAAGGCGGCUUUCUGGGCCUACCCUGACGCUGAGGAGCGAAAGCGUGGGGAGCAAACCGG
This 231-nucleotide ribosomal RNA is filed under the name uncultured bacterium. Its description in RNAcentral is "partial 16S ribosomal RNA". It matches the Rfam family "Bacterial small subunit ribosomal RNA", at positions 546 to 776 of the family's 1533-position model. The record is from RNAcentral.